Molecule: ribosomal RNA, 497 nt
Filed under: uncultured bacterium
Lineage: Bacteria
Description: partial 16S ribosomal RNA
Rfam family: Bacterial small subunit ribosomal RNA
Source: RNAcentral
GAUGAACGCUGGCGGCGUGCCUAAUACAUGCAAGUCGAGCGAACAGACGAGGAGCUUGCUCCUCUGACGUUAGCGGCGGACGGGUGAGUAACACGUGGAUAACCUACCUAUAAGACUGGGAUAACUUCGGGAAACCGGAGCUAAUACCGGAUAAUAUAUUGAACCGCAUGGUUCAAUAGUGAAAGACGGUUUUGCUGUCACUUAUAGAUGGAUCCGCGCCGCAUUAGCUAGUUGGUAAGGUAACGGCUUACCAAGGCGACGAUGCGUAGCCGACCUGAGAGGGUGAUCGGCCACACUGGAACUGGGACACGGUCCAGACUCCUACGGGAGGCAGCAGUAGGGAAUCUUCCGCAAUGGGCGAAAGCCUGACGGAACAACGCCGCGUGAGUGAUGAAGGUCUUCGGAUCGUAAAACUCUGUUAUUAGGGAAGAACAAAUGUGUAAGUAACUAUGCACGUCUUGACGGUACCUAAUCAGAAAGCCACGGCUAACUACGUG